GUGCUUGCUUUGGCAGCCCAUAAACUAAAAUUAGAACAAUACAAAGAAGAUUAACAUGGUCCCUGUGCAAGAAUGACACUCAAAUUUGUGAAGCAUUCCAUAUUUAA
This is a small nuclear RNA of Mastomys coucha (southern multimammate mouse), 107 nucleotides long. The record is from RefSeq and is a predicted model, not a curated record. NCBI's taxonomy places the organism in Eukaryota, Metazoa, Chordata, Mammalia, Rodentia, Muridae.